UUAGUCAUGGUGGCUUGCUGCAUCAUUGGACUUAAACCCAUUCGCAUAGUUUCAUGAAAAGGGAAUGAUCCAGCCCAUCAAUUUAGAACUCCAACAUCCCAGAUAUACGAAUGGGAAAGCAACAACAGAACACACAGAGUUAACUGGUUUCAUAAAUUUGAAAACUGUCCCUCCAACCUUCUCCUUAGAGUUAGGUGACAGAAACUGAGGUCUCUUUCAGAAGUCAUAGCCCACAGUACCUCAUUUCUGUAUGAUUCCAGGUCAUUCUUCUUUUUUAUCCUUCAACAUACUAACAUGAAGCCUCCAAGACAUUUAUUAGAUAUUGUUAAUUUAGUUGUUAACUAUAUAAAUCCUCCGAGUUCCUACUGGGGUAAAAAUGUAUGUUUUAAAAAGACAGAGUUUUCUUUUUUCUCCUUGUAAAUCUAUUCUUUUUUUUUUUCCCACUGUACAGCAAUGGGAUCCAGUUAUCCUUACAUGUAUACAUUCCAAUUACAGUUUUUCCCCCACCCUUUCUUCUGUUGCAACAUGAGUAUCUAGACAAAGUUCUCAAUGCUACUCAGCAGGAUCUCCUUGUAAAUCUAUUCUAAGUUGUGUCUGAUAAACCCAAGCUCCCGAUCCCUCCCACUCCCUCCCCCUCCCACCAGGCAACCACAAGUCUUUUCUCCAAGUCCAUGAUUUUCUUUUCUGAGGAGAUGUUCAUUUGUGCUGGAUAUUAGAUUCCAGUUAUAAGUGAUAUCCUAUGGUAUUUGUCUUUGUAAAAAGACAGAGUUCUCAAAUCAUACUAUUUUGUAUAAAAACAGCAUCUACCAUUUAUGUAGCAAACAUCCAUCUAUGUUUUUCAUUUAGUUUUCACAGGAUUGCUAUGAAAUAGGUAUUCUGAUAAUCACCAUUUCACAGAAAAGUAUAGUGACGUUGAGAAAUGGUAAAGACUUGGCUUGGAACAAAGAACCAGCAUAUAACAAAACUGGGAUUUGAAACUAGAUCUAGGCGUUCCCGUUGUGGCUCCCGUUAUGAACCAAACUAGUAGUAUCCAUAAGGAUGCAGCCCCGCUCAGGGGGUUAAGGAUCCCAAAUUGCCAGGAGCUGUAGUGUAGGCUGCAGGUGCGACUCAGAUCCCUCAUUGCUGUGGCUGGGACAUAGGCUGGCAGCUGCAGCUCUAAUUCAUCUCCUAGCCUGGGAACGUCCAUAUGCCACAGGUGCAGCCCUAAAAAGAACGAGAGGAAGCUGCAUCCAAGCUUCUCACAGGUAAGAUUCACCAACUACAGCCGGCUGGUCACAUAUCCAAGACAUGCUCCAAUUAUGGAUGGUUGCAUGGUCAUUCGGUAGAAAAACUGGAUCCAAAUUUGUUAAGACAGCCCAGAAGUCCCUUCACAGAAACAAAACCCUUGAGAAUCCAAUCUGGGUUAUGCCCAUUCCUCUGGUUAAGGAAACACCAGAGGUACCAAGUGAAGGAGGAAAAAUCAUCCCAGCUUUGAGCCUCCCCACCUGCCAAAGGAGGGAUCUUGGUGAUACUGAGACACAUUUCAUUGUAUCCUUUUGCCAAUGAAAGUUUAAUUACAAAUAUUUUUUCUUCAAAGGAAGGAAGCCUGUGGUGCAUGGCAGGGUCCCUUUGCCUUUGGUUUACUUCGUGCUCUUAAAAUGCUUAUACUGUCUGGUACAUAAAAUAAGAGGGGGUGAGUUAGGGGUGUGUCAGGCGUAAGAAACGUCCGUGUCACCACCAUGUCACUGGCAUCUGCUCACCGAUGUUACAAACACCACAGUUCCGCCUGGAGGUCCAGCCUCACUGUUACCCGUGGUGAUAACUGACAAUAAACAAAGGUGAUUCUACUUUUACUGAUUAAAGAAGGAAACAUUUUUCUAAAUGCGGUAUAACCAAUGUAAUCAUUGCUGUCACUCCAUUCUUGCUGUCUUUCAGAGCUUGCAGUUUCUCUGGCCUUUUGUCACAGGCUCAUCCAGCACUAGGAGAUCCUGCCCACACAGACCUUGGAGCAAAUCAUCUUCUGUUUGGAGGUCCCUGGAAUAGCCUUUUGUGUCAGAUGCCCAGACAUGGUGCUGCUUCUUUAAAGCAACUUCUUUCAGGAUUUUUAUCUAACCAGUUUUCACAGUAUGGCCAACUCAGCUCAACUGAAUGACCAACCCAGCUCAGCUUUAUCAUCAGGACACGUGUAACAUGCACUUCACAAGAUAUAUGAAUGUCUGCAUGGCAACAGCAAGAUUGGAGGAGCUGAACUGCGUGAGCAUCCGGUAUUGAUUAUCCAUGUAACAACACUUGGGUGUUGAAACUUCAAAGACACCCCCCCUCCCCCGCCACCACCGGCCCUGCUCUCUCUUGGGUUCGCCACGUGGCUUCAAAAUUCUAUCUGAGCUCCUGCCGCCUGAGACCCACACAUGACAUUUCUAAAGGAAACUUUUCUGAUACUCUGCCGCCAUUCAAAGCUUUGGGCAUUUUCACCCUGAGGAAUUUCAUCUUGGGAGACAUGGGGCAGUGGAAUAUUGAUGAAGUACAGAAAGAUGCCUUCAUAGAAAUGAGUUUCCUUCUGACCUAUUCCAGAGGCACAUCAAAAGGUAAGGCCGGGCACCUCUCUGGACACAGUCAACUUUGAACCAUUUCUCAUAGUAUCAGGGAAACUUCUUAUGUUUCUUACAUCAUUUCAUAUUUAUGAAUCAUAACUUUGAUUUUGGAGGCCCCCUCAUUUUUCCAAACACUCUUUCCAAAAGGCACCAAACAAAAGCUUCCAAAGUCAUCUAGUUGCAUGAUUAUAAAACCAAUUUCAAUCCACAGUAGUCACGCACUUACAAGCAAGCCAAAAUCAGGCCUCACUACUAUGAAAGGCAGUUAUAAAAUAUUUAUUUGACAAGUACAUACAGUCUGGACAUUUUCGGCAAAAGGGCAUCUUACUAUUUUGCACAAAAAUGAAAAAGUUACAUGAUAGCUCAAUGUUGGUUUGCAGGAUUUAAAAUCAAAACAUAAGCGCCACAUCAUGAACAUAUAAAAUAUUUAAUGCAUGGUGCUCUUUUGGAACUAAGAUCACAACUAGAACCAAAAAGCCUGUUACUUCCUUCUUAGCAACACAUUAUGCAAAACAAUGACAGCAAACCCAA
Molecule: long non-coding RNA, 3101 nt
Filed under: Sus scrofa (pig)
Lineage: Eukaryota; Metazoa; Chordata; Mammalia; Artiodactyla; Suidae
Description: lncRNA (ENSSSCG00015041070.1)
Source: RNAcentral